Molecule: ribosomal RNA, 189 nt
Filed under: Bicosoecida sp. CB-2014
Lineage: Eukaryota; Bigyra; Bicosoecida
Description: partial Bacterial large subunit ribosomal RNA
Rfam family: Bacterial large subunit ribosomal RNA
Source: RNAcentral
AGAAUGCCGGAAUGAGUAGCGAGAAUUAUGUGGGAAUCAUAAUGGCCGAAAAUCUAAGGUUUCUUGGGGAAGGUUCGUCCGCCCAAGGUAAGCCGGGAGCUAAGGCGAGGCCGAGAGGCGUAGCCGAUGGACAACAGGUUGAGAUUCCUGUACUGCUGUAUAACAGAACUGUGGGGACACAGAGGGAGA